GACGAACGCUGGCGGCGUGCCUAACACAUGCAAGUCGAACGGAAAGGCCUCUUUCGGGGGGUACCCGAGUGGCGAACGGGUGGGUCAUACGCUAGUAACCUGCCUUUCUCUCUGGGAUAGCUUCUGGUACCUGGGGCUAUUACCGGACCGGAGCUCUUUCUGCUUUGUGGGGGCUGGCAUGUUUUGGCGGUUUUGGUUGGGUUCGCGGCUUAUCAGCUUGUUGGUGGGGUAUUGGCUUACCAAGGCUUUGGCGGGUAGCCGGCCUGAGAGGGUGACCGGCCACAGUGAGACUGAGAUACGGCCCAGACUCCUACGGGAGGCAGCAGUAGGGAAUAGUGCACAAUGGGUGGGAGCCUGAUGCAGCAACGCCGUGUGCGGGAUAACGGCCUUCGGGUUGUAAACCGCAUUCGCUCAUGACGAAGCUUUGUGUGACGGUAGUGGGUAAAGAAGCACCGGCUAACUACGUG
RNAcentral lists this ribosomal RNA (467 nucleotides) under uncultured bacterium. RNAcentral's name for it is "partial 16S ribosomal RNA". It matches the Rfam family "Bacterial small subunit ribosomal RNA", at positions 28 to 507 of the family's 1533-position model. The record is from RNAcentral.